RNAcentral lists this ribosomal RNA (431 nucleotides) under uncultured bacterium. Its description in RNAcentral is "bacterial SSU rRNA". It matches the Rfam family "Bacterial small subunit ribosomal RNA", at positions 355 to 796 of the family's 1533-position model. The record is from RNAcentral.
UCGAGGAUCUUCGGCAAUGGGCGCAAGCCUGACCGAGCGACGCCGCGUGUGCGAUGAAGGCCUUCGGGUUGUAAAGCACUGUCGAGGGGGAGGAAGCCGCAAGGUUGACCUAUCCCUGGAGGAAGCACGGGCUAAGUUCGUGCCAGCAGCCGCGGUAAGACGAACCGUGCGAACGUUGUUCGGAAUCACUGGGCUUAAAGGGCGCGUAGGCGGUUCAUCAAGUCUGGGGUGAAAUCUUUCGGCUUAACCGGAAAAGUGCCUGGGAUACUGAUGAACUGGAGGGAGAUAGGGGCAGCUGGAACUUCCGGUGGAGCGGUGAAAUGCGUUGAUAUCGGAAGGAACUCCGGUGGCGAAAGCGAGCUGCUGGAUCUCUACUGACGCUGAGGCGCGAAAGCCAGGGGAGCAAACGGGAUUAGAUACCCCCGUAGUCC